UGGUGGUCUAGUGGUUAGGAUUCGGCG
RNAcentral lists this non-coding RNA (27 nucleotides) under Xenopus tropicalis (tropical clawed frog). The record is from RNAcentral. Lineage: Eukaryota; Metazoa; Chordata; Amphibia; Anura; Pipidae. RNAcentral also lists the same sequence under 6 other names.